GACGAACGCUGGCGGCGUGCUUAACACAUGCAAGUCGAACGAAAAGAGGGAAAGAGCUUGCUCUUUCCGGAAUUGAGGGGCAAACGGGUGAGUAACACGUAAACAACCUGCCUUCAGGAUGGGGACAACAGACGGAAACGACUGCUAAUACCGAAUAAGUUCCAAGGGCCGCAUGGCCCAUGGAAGAAAAGGUGGCCUCUACCUGUAAGCUAUCGCCUGAAGAGGGGUUUGCGUCUGAUUAGCUGGUUGGAGGGGUAACGGCCCACCAAGGCGACGAUCAGUAGCCGGUCUGAGAGGAUGAACGGCCACACUGGAACUGAGACACGGUCCAGACUCCUACGGGAGGCAGCAGUGGGGAAUCUUCCGCAAUGGGCGAAAGCCUGACGGAGCAACGCCGCGUGAGUGAUGACGGCCUUCGGGUUGUAAAACUCUGUGAUCCGGGACGAAAAGGCAGAGUGCGAAGAACAAACUGCAUUGACGGUACCGGAAAAGCAAGCCACGGCUAACUACGUG
This 513-nucleotide ribosomal RNA is filed under the name uncultured bacterium. Its description in RNAcentral is "partial 16S ribosomal RNA". It matches the Rfam family "Bacterial small subunit ribosomal RNA", at positions 28 to 507 of the family's 1533-position model. The record is from RNAcentral.